UUUUAGCUCUCUAGCGGCCAGCUUCGCUUGGAGCUCCAGCGCCUUGCGCCAAGAGAAAUCAUGACAUUAACAUGAUGUUAAAUGGCACUACAGAGGUUGUCAGGGACAUUAAACAUCAUCACGCCGAACGGGAAAAAACUUUGCAGAUAAACUCAGAGCUCUACAGUGCGACCAUUUCACUCGCAUUUGUGACUGAAAAGUAAUUUGUGCGACUGUGACUAAAUAUUUAUUCGCACUGGUGCGAGUGACCUGUUCGGAGUUGUAGAAUACAAUCGGAAUAAAAACUACAGGAAGUCCAAAAUGCAUCUACAGUUACUUUCACACUGCUUUUCAUCACCUCAGUCAACCGAACAAUCAUGCCGAUCGAUUGCUUCAGCAGCCACCUCAGCCAAAAUCCACCAUGCCUGAGGAGAACAGGCACCAUGGUAACCAGUUGGCAAGCAGAAGUGCAGCUCUUUUGUUUUCUCUCUGAUCAUGACUGCAUGCAAUAAGCCUG
Ictalurus punctatus (channel catfish) is the source of this 496-nucleotide long non-coding RNA. The record is from Ensembl. Lineage: Eukaryota; Metazoa; Chordata; Actinopteri; Siluriformes; Ictaluridae.